CUGAAUAACGAUGUAUAUUGAUGAAUAGAUUCGAGAAUUACAACCGUCGUGAUACUCUAUCACCUGAGUAUCACUCUACUCUCAUCACCUGAGUAGACCUAGCUCAUAUGCUAAGGUUAACAAUUGUAAUCAACCAUAACCGUAUAACAGAAACAAUACGAGUAUUUAUACUUCCUUUACUAUCUCACACGUGUCUCCACUUUAUUUGUUAACCACCAUUUCACUCUUCAUUUCCCGUCACUCCUCUCCCUUCUUCACUUCCUUCUGCUUAAACCUUCUCCUCUCAUAAGUAUGCUUGAACCUAUCAAUACUCCCCCCAUUGAGAGCAAGCUUGCCCUCAAGCUUGUAAUCCGGAAAAUUGCCUUCAAACUCCGCCAACAGCAUCCAAGAAUUCUCAUGAUCCACUGAGUUCUGCCAACGUACCAACAGCUCAACAAUACCAUCCUCUCGUACCCGCGAUGCUAACACCUCUGCUGGUUCCAUCACUAUGUUCUCCAAGUCUGUGCACGCGGGAGGUACUGUUUGGGCUAAGUGAUCCUGACCCAAAGCGGCUUUUAACUGUGAAAUAUGAAAAACAGGAUGAAUCUUAGACUCUUGAGGAAGUCUCAACCGAUACGCCACCUUGCCUACGCGUUCUGUGAUCUCAUAGGGACCAAAAUACUUGGCGGCAAGCUUCUGACAAUAACGCCUAACCACAGUAUUUUGACGGAAUGGUUUCAGCUUCAAAUAGACGAGAUCACCCACUGAAAACUGCACAUCUCUGCGAUGUUUAUCCGCUUGUGCCUUCAUAAUAGCUUGAGCUCGUGCCAAGUGUUGUUUAAUCUGUGAUAACAUCGCAUCUCGUUCUCGCAAAUUCGUUUCCAAAUCAAAGUUCUGAGUCGAUCCUUCUUCAAAACGCACUAAUUUCGGAGGCUCUCUUCCAUAAACCACGUGGAACGGUGUUGUCUUCAAUGCCGUGUGAUACGAAGUGUUGUACCAAAGUUCAGACCAAGCCAAAAAUUUAUACCACGUUUUCGGAUGUCCUGAAGCAAAGCAGCGAAGAUAAGUCUCCAUACAACGGUUAAGGACCUCUGUUUGGCCAUCUGUUUGCGGAUGAAACGCUGUACUAUACUUCAGUUUAGUGCCUGAUAGUCGAAACAAAUCUUUCCAAAAACUGCUCAAGAAAAUUCUGUCACGGUCUGAAACCACUGUCUUUGGAAACCCAUGUAGUCGUACAACUUCUGCCAUGAACUUCGAAGCCACAUCCACUGCUGUAAACGGAUGUUUUAAGCCAAUGAAAUGACUAUACUUACUCAAUCUAUCCACCACAACCAUGAUCACAUUAAAACCCUGAGAUGUCGGUAAACCCUCCACAAAAUCCAUCGAAAUAUCCUCCCAUAUACGCAUUGGAAUCGGUAACGGUUGGAGUAGUCCUGCUGGAGAUAAUGUUGAAUACUUGUGAGUUUGACAUACCCCACACUCAGAUACAUACUGUUGUACUGCCUUAAACAAGCCCUCCCAAUGGAACAUCGUUUGAACUCUCUUAACCGUCUUUAGAACUCCCGAGUGACCACCGAUCUUCCCAUCAUGACAUUCAAACAAUAUCAGUGGAAUUGAUGUUGACGACUUUGGUAACACCAGCCUCUGUUUAUACCAUAACCUGUCAUCGACCACCCGAUAAUGUGGAUUUGAUAAUUCUCCGCGCUUCACCAACGUCGUUAAUCUCUGUAACUCCACAUCUUCAGCAAUCUCCUUAUAUAUUUCUUGCAACUGUAUCACCGUCGGAACUGUUAAUGCGAAACACUGAGCCCCCUUUAAUAACAACUCUUCUCUUUCUAUCCGUGAUAACCCGUCAGCAGCUUUAUUCUCGCACCCUGGUUUGUAAACAAUGUCAAAGUCGUACCCUAAUAACUUUGUUAGCCACUUCUGAUAUUCCAUGUUGACUUCCUUUUGCUCCAGCAGGUACUUAAGACUUCUCUGAUCCGUAUGUACUACAAACUUCCUGCCCAGUAAGUAGUGUUUCCAUUUCAACACUGCCAUAACCACUGCCAUAAGUUCACGUUCAUAUGCUGGUUUCAAACUUUCUCUUGCGGUUAGACCAUGACUAAAAUACGCCAGUGGACGUUUGUCCUGCAUUAACACCGCCCCCACACCGAAGCCUGAUGCAUCUGUCUCGAUUAUAAACGGUUUUGUGAAAUCUGGUAAUGCUAAAACUGGAGCUGACACCAUUGCAGACUUUAAUUUCUCAAAUGCUGCUUGAGCUUCGCCAGACCACGCAAAACUGUCUUUUUUCAAUAAUUCUGUCAGGGGCCGAGCUAUUAUACCAUACCCUUUCACAUAAUUUCUGUAAUAACCCGUGAGCCCCAAGAAUCCCCGCAGUUGCUUAACCGUUUUAGGAAUCGGCCACUCUCGCAUGCUCGCUGUCUUGUUUGUAUCUGUUGCCACACCAGUUUUGGAAAUAAUAUGGCCCAAGUACUCAACUUGAGACAAUCCAAACGAACAUUUCUUCAAGUUUGCAAACAGUUUCUGUGUAGCCAAUAUCUCCAACACGAUCUGCAAAUGCCUCAGAUGAUCUUCUUCAUUACGGCUAUAGAUCAACACGUCAUCGAAAAAUACCAAGAUGAACACUCUGAGAUAUGGUUUGAAGAUAGAGUUCAUCAAGGCCUGAAAUGUUGCAGGAGCGUUCGUCAGACCGAAAGGCAUAACUAAGAACUCGUAGUGGCCUUCUACCGUCCUGAAUGCAGUCUUUUCAAUAUCAGCUUCCUUCAUACGGAUUUGGUGAUAACCUGCGCGUAAAUCGAUUUUCGAAAAGACUGUCGCUCCAUGUAGUUCAUCCAAUAAUUGAUCAAUCACCGGUAUUGGGAACUUGUCUGGUACUGUCACCUUAUUCACUGCUCGGUAGUCUAUACAGAAACGCCAUGAGCCAUCUUUCUUUUUGACUAGCAGGACAGGACUUGAAAAGGGACUCGUACUCACUCUGAUUAUCCCCGCAUCGAGCAUAUCUCCCACCAUCUUCUCCAUGAUUGCUUUUGUGGAAUGUGGAUAUCGAUAGGGACGCACAGAGAUUGCAGACACUCCUGGAAGCAAGUUAAUGGAAUGAUCAUACCCACGGAAAGGAGGUAAACCCGUUGGUAUUGCGAAUACAUGAUCAAACUUGUCCAACAAUGUCUGCAGCUUUCUCGGAAUUUCUGGAAUGUUUGGUGUCACCUCGCUUGCUGAUAGCACCAGUGCUCCUCUUCCUCGUGUAUCAGCAUUAGAGAUAGGAGACAGUGACUUAAAAGAGAAUGAGGAACAAUGCAGGUUUGGAUCUCCGAACAAUGUCACUUUAGUAUUGUUAUACAUAAAGGACAGUUCCUGCUCCUUCCAAUCUACCUCGCAUUUUCCCAAUGUCUCCAGCCACUGAAUGCCUAAAAUAACAUCAACCAUUCCCAAUUCCAAAGCUAUGAAAUCCGAAAUGAAUUCGGUAUCCGCUAAACUGAAUGUGACAGACUUGCAGACCCCUGCGCCUUUGACUGUCACUCCAUUGCCUAGCAGAAUGUCGAGGCUCGGAUCAGCACAAACUUUCAAUUUGAGCCUCUGCACCGUAUCAGGUGUUAUGAAAUUAUGGGAAGCACCACUAUCCAACAUAACAAUGACGUUGGUUUUGUUGAUUUUCCCAUACAGUUUUGUCGUCUUUGGAGAAUGAAUUCCCAAAAACGAGUUAAGUGAUAGUAUAGCGAGUUGUUGAGCUGGAGUAUACACUAUCGUUUCCUCUUCUUCAUUGUCGACUUCGUCAAUAACCUCCAUCUCCAACCCAUUUACCACAGUGAUAAUGCGCAACUCUUUAUUAGGACAUUUAUGCGCUCUGGUCCAUCCAUUCGCUCCGCAUCUGAAGCAAAUAAAUUCCUUUCUCAUUCGAUCCAGUUCUUCUUUAGAAUGUUUCAUCCGUGGACGCAGUUCAGAAGAUGAUGUCUGAGUAUUGCCCUCUUUCUUUUGCAUAGAUGCAGAAGGCGUUGUGUGACCCUUUCUGUUCUCAUUAUCAGUCCAAUGACGAUGUGAGUUAUAACCCGAUGAUGACUUCCAAACAUGUGACUUGGACUGCUGUUGAGAUCCUUCCUCUGAUUUGCUCUUAUCACUGACCACCUUACAGAACGCGCUCGUCUCCAUUCUUAAUACUGCUGCGAUAUGAUUCUCUAACCCCUUAGGUUCCUUCAUCCUGAUAACUUCUUUCAUUUCCUGAUUGAGACCGUUGUAGAAUAUCCUUAUAAGAAACUCAUCAUCCAAUCCUGGUACCAAUUCGGAUAACUCCUCAAAUUCUGAAAUGUAGUCAGCUACAGAACCAGUUUGCUUGAUUGCAAACAGACGGCUAGCAGGUUCUUCUUCAAUUGAUUCAGUGAACCUGAGAACUAGCUUAUCCUUGAACUCCUGCCAGCUCUGAAAUCCCCUCCUUUUCAGUUCCCAGCCAAACCAUUUCUUCACAGGACCAUCCAAACUCAACCCUAUCAACUCCAAUUUCUCUCUAUCCUCAUAUCUUCCAAUGCUGAACCAACGUUCCACUUCAGUAAUCCACACAUACGGUUGCUUCCCGGAGAACACAGGCAUCUGUAUCUUUUGCAACAUCGAAUCUCGAGUAGCAAGGUUCAAAUUCCCAGAUCGAUAACCUAGCGGAUAAUCUUCCCGGUUACGUUCCCAGUUAGACGAAUGUACCUGAUUCUGUGACGUUCCCGGUUGAAACUGUGACUGACGUCCCCCUUGUGGAUCCAAUCUCUCCAAGAUCUGCCGCAUCGCUCGCAGUUCUUGACUCACAGUCUCCUGUUUCGCCUCUGAUUCCUUCAAAGCGCGAUUCAAUCGUACGUAACCGCCGCGUAAGAAAUCCAUCGUCAUAUCUUGCUCUUCUAUCUCAAACUCCUCCUCCGAGCCGACGCUCGGUUCCGUUGGAACCAUCUUUGCUUUCGACAUCGCACGAAUCGUCGGAAGCUUCAAUCGGAACGGCGAUCGUCGUCAAUCACUCGAGCGCACACCUUCGGAGAUCGAUCGCGUGUCAAACCGUCACAACGAACUGUAACCACCAGGAAUCGCACUCGCCUUCGUCGCCGCGUGUUCCGAAACAGUUUCACCGCACCAAUUGAUAAGAUCAAAGAUCGGAUCUACUGAAUAACGAUGUAUAUUGAUGAAUAGAUUCGAGAAUUACAACCGUCGUGAUACUCUAUCACCUGAGUAUCACUCUACUCUCAUCACCUGAGUAGACCUAGCUCAUAUGCUAAGGUUAACAAUUGUAAUCAACCAUAACCGUAUAACAGAAACAAUACGAGUAUUUAUACUUCCUUUACUAUCUCACACGUGUCUCCACUUUAUUUGUUAACCACCAUUUCACUCUUCAUUUCCCGUCACUCCUCUCCCUUCUUCACUUCCUUCUGCUUAAACCUUCUCCUCUCAUAAGUAUGCUUGAACCUAU
This 5413-nucleotide long non-coding RNA is filed under the name Brassica napus (rape). Its description in RNAcentral is "long non-coding RNA (BNAP_LNC006482)". Lineage: Eukaryota; Viridiplantae; Streptophyta; Magnoliopsida; Brassicales; Brassicaceae. The record is from RNAcentral.